UNUGAACUGGAGUGGACACUCAGUCAGGC
Molecule: non-coding RNA, 29 nt
Filed under: Mus musculus (house mouse)
Lineage: Eukaryota; Metazoa; Chordata; Mammalia; Rodentia; Muridae
Source: RNAcentral